This is a long non-coding RNA of Taeniopygia guttata (zebra finch), 4000 nucleotides long. NCBI's taxonomy places the organism in Eukaryota, Metazoa, Chordata, Aves, Passeriformes, Estrildidae. The record is from Ensembl.
UUGGGUUGGAAGAGGCAUUAAAGAUCACCUUGUUCCAUCCCUGCCAUGGACAAGGACAGCUUCCACCAUACCAGGGUGAUCCAAACCCCAGUGUUCAUCCUGGCCUUGGACACUUCCAGGGAUCCAGGGACAACCACAGUUUCUCUGGGCACCCUGUGCCAGGGCCUCACUUCCCUCCCAGACAGGAAUUCCUUCCCAAAAUCCCACCCAUCCCUGCCCUCUGGCAGUGGGAGCCAUUCCCUGGGUUCUGUCCCUCCAUCCCUUGUCCCCAGUCCCUCUCCAGCUCUCCUGGAGCCCCUUCAGGCCCUGCAAGGGGCUCUGAGCUCUGCCUGGAGCUUCUCCUCUCCAGGUGAGCAUUCCCAGCUCUCCCAACCUGGCUUCAGAGCCUUGGAACACCUUCAUGGCCUCCUCUGGACUCUCUCCAGCAGUUUGACAAUAUCUGUGCCAACAUCAACCUUGCAGAUGAUUUCAAAUGAGGAAAGAUCAGCCACGAAGCUCGAAGUGCUCCUGAGCCUUCAUCCCCAGAGUGUGUGACCCCAUGCAAUCCAGCAGGGAUCCCUGCCAAAAACACCCCAGGAACACCUGCCAUACACAUAUCUAAAAACCCAAAGGCUACAGGCAGCUUGGAAUUCAGCAAUCCCAGCUCAUUCCUCGGGUUAUGGAAGCUUGGAAGCAACAGGCACCAGGACCCAAAGGCAGAACGCUGCACCCACUGCCCAAAGCACCCUUGGGUGGGUGGCUGUGGAAAAUGGAGCUCUGGUUGCCCUGUGCCAUGGGAACAGGAUCCCUCCCAGCUGCUGGGUGCAGGGGGGGAGCAGAGGUGCCCCCAGGACCUCACCCAGCCUCCCACAGCAAGGAGUGGUGCCCUGCCCACACCCAGCCUUGCCCUCCCACUCCCACCACCAUUUCACUUCGAUCCCACUUCACCGGGACCUUCCCUUCUCGUCCUGUAGGGGCUGGUGGAGGAAAACUCCCCAUGUCACAUGGCAGAGAACAAAAGGAGCUGUUUUUAACCGAAUGGAUUAAUCUUUGACAAGAACAGGGCGAUGCCACACCAGCCUCACUCCUCCCACGGGAAUCAGUCAGCACGAACAUGGUGGUUUUGCUGACAAGGAGCACAUCUCGUCCACUCCAAACCUUCUACUUCUGGCAGCGGCCAGGAUGGGACAAAUCUGGGGCUUGGUGCAGGCAAAAGAUGGAAAUCACACCAAUAAAACCAAGGGGAAAUCCAAGAUCCAAGCAAACGGCUCUGUAGAGGAGCUCGGGGUUUUCCCGAGACCAUACCAUCCUCCACAAGAAUUCCCAGGCAUCUUCACCGUUCCUGGCACAGCUCUCGUGCCAAAAUGCCACAAUAAAAGAAAAACACGGCCACAAGGAGCAUGGCUGCCAAUGCUUGGCCAACCGUGUCCUCAGCAGGAGAAGGCAAUGCUUUCUGACACCGUGAUUUCCCUGAGAUCCUCUGCUGAGUUUCCAGCAGGUGGGAAGGAUUUCACAAGCCAUGGGAAACAGCUGGAUAGGCACCUCUCAGUCAACACCACAGCCCCACACCUCCAAUGUCCCCACCGCUCCCUUCCAUCCCCAACGCCACUGAAACGGGCGCCUACCUGGUGCUGGGAACAUCUAUGAGUCAGGUUCCUCCAGCAGCUCCAUGGCAAGCUCGGGGUUGUCUCAGCACAGCUGGAAGAUAAAGCCACCAAGAGAAAAGCUCAGUGUCCUUGCAGAGGUGGCGUUUCUCAGGGCAGGUUCCUCCCGCGUGGCCGCUGGGAGCCCAUCCCGCAGGAGCCGUGGGGCUCUCCACGUCCUCCUGGGCUGGUGAGGCGCCGGGAUCCCUGGGAAUUGUGCUCUGCUUGGAAGGACCAACCCUUUUUGACUGGUGUCCAAGCCCAAAGCGCAUGUUCUUACCUGCUCGGUGGAAGAUGGGGGGAGUCUGGACCACCUCUCCGAGAAACACAUGGAUCUCAGCAGGGUGUGGAUGUCCUGCUCCUCACCCAAACGCUGUUUAGGAGAAAAGGGGGCUGCAAAAUUGUGGGAAUUUGGAGAAAAGAGGUCGGAGGUGGGAACGCUCCUGCAGCUGGAGCCAGCACGGCUCUGCCGGUUGGUUCACAGCGGAGCUGUGAUCAACAGGGAUGGGGAUGUCAAGCUGGGACUUGUCUCCUCAGCAAGGAAAGGGAACAGCAGGGAUUACUAAGCGAUGCAGGAAUGUGGUUUGUUUAAUAUGAGCCAUCAACACAGAAGAGUAAAAUAAUGACAGAUGUGUAAUCACAUUUCCUGAGUCUAAAACCAUGAGAUCGAGAAUUUAAACACCACUUUUCCCAAGAUCAAGAAGAUGAGCCGUUUGGCUAAGAACUGAUUUGGUUACUAAUUUCCUUGGCAUUAAAUCAGCUGUUUCCCCAAUCUCUUGACAGGCUUUGCUCCAAGGACGGGGCUGGUCCCUGCUUUGCUUUGAUGUGAGGGUAAGAUGCUUUGGAAACAGGGAUUCACCAACUGACCGAGCUGGCCUGGAUCAGAGGCUCCUCAGCAUUGCUUAAUUGGUUUAUUUUAAUGAAAGAUGGCAAGAUAAGUUUCACAUGGAUCUUUAUCGGGGGAGCGGCCGAGUGGUGGGAGACAGAAAUCCAGAGCUGGGUUAAGCCAACCUUCCAAGGGCAGGAUAGGGGGGAAAGGGAAGCCCUUCCCCAUCAUGGAAAGGCAGAAUUUCUGCAAGGUUGGAUUGCAGAAGACACAUGGCUGAGGGAGACCAGACUCACAACCCUCCAAGAGUGGGGAAUGCAAUCUCUGCUCAGCCCCUGGACAUGGCAUUGUCCCAAAGGUCACGGGUGCAGGACCUGGGAGGGAGCGGUUCCAUGGUGGGGUAGGGCUGGGAGGAAACGGUGUCAUUUGCUUGUCAGAUGUUUCCAUUCGUCUCUUGAGAUCAAAAGUGGGAAAAACACUGAGCAGGGAGGGUGCUGCUGGCACAGGAGCUGGCCUGAGAGGGUCUGCCUCUCUUCUGGAUUUGGGAAGCAUGCUGUCUCUCCAAAAGGAAAGGCUGAGUGACAUGGGGGUGUUCACCUGGAGAGGAGAAGGCUCCAGAGAGCCCCUUCCAGGACCUAAAGUGCUCCAGGAGAGCUGGAGAAGGACUGGGGGCAAGGGGUGGAAAGACAGGACACAGGGAAUGGCUUCCCAGUGAGAGAUGGGAUACUGGGAAGAAAUUCUUCUCUGUGAGGGUGUUUUAGGGAGCUGGGAAAGCCAAAACAGAGGUGCCCAAGGAUGCAGGACCACUCUCCCAGGACAUGAAAAACACAGAACCAUUUAAGGCUUAACAAGGAGAAUAAAGAACAAAAUGUAUGAAUUUAUUUUGUAUUUUUCUUCCUGUCCCUGUGUUGGAACUCACCGGCGCUGGUGGGAUUCACCCCUGCUCACAUCUGGAGGAGCUGUGCUGACCCUACAGCUGAUGUCCCUACAGAGCAGAGGUGCCAUCAGCUCACACCUCCCUGCUGUGAGCCUGGGAAUGUGCCUACAUUUCCAAGCACAAGCUCAGAGAUCUUCCCUGGAGACCCACCAGCGUCUGGCGUGAUGGCCAGCUCUGAGCUAUCCCUAAUUAACCAGCUUUGCAUUUCUAAUUGAGCCCUGGAAGUCAGCCAGCAGGAGCAAGAGGCGUUCACCUGGCUGCCACCCUUUGAUGACAGCAGUGGAGCUGGUAUGGGAGGCUGAUGGAAAUGCAAUCAAGGAGAUCGUUCCAAGAGCUGCUCCCAAGCCUGAGAGCCCCAAUGCUGCCAGGAGCUCACCAGGAGCAACCUGCACUUCUUGGGAUGGCCCAGGUGGGAUCCCACACGUGCACUGCUCAUCCUGGAUGAGAAACAUCACAGAGACACUGUGACCUCAGUGGGAAGAAAAAUUGCUGCACAAAAGGGACGGGGAGCUGAGGCCAGGAGCAAAACUUCGGCACUGGUCCCACCACAAGCAGCUCUGGGUGGGUCCAGAUGAAAUGUUUUUCAGAGAUUUUGUAAAAUUAGUGGAAUAAAAA